AAGACCCAGAGAAAGCAGGAAGAUGGCAAAAAUAAUCCUUAAAGUAAGAAGGAGGAUUAUGCUGUCUUCCAGAUUUCCUGGGAACAGCAGCUGAUGUGGAAGAAGGCAAAGCAGGAGGGAAAAUGUCAGGGUUGAAAGGAGGACUGGAAAUUGGAUAGGAAGAAGGAGAAUCUGAAACAGAAUGUGAAGGUGGAGAGGAAGAGAUGGGAAUAGAGAAAUCUGGCUCAGAAAGGGAAUGCUUAAGAGGAGGAAAAAAAUGAAAAGAAGAAUGAGAAACAGGAGGAGUAGAGGUGACAGAAGAAACACAUUUGAAAGGAAAAGAAGUUUCAUGAAAGAUAACAUCCCUGGACACAAAACACUUUUUGGAACUGGGAUCAUACAGUCUAUAACCCUUUUUAGCAAAAGGAUACCCCAGGAAAACACAUGAAAUGGCCCUAGGUUUCAACUCGUCCCUUUGAGGAAUUGGGACACUAGCAUAUGCAAGGCAGCCAAAAGUCUUUAAAUGGGAGUAAGUGGGUGUCUUACCAUGCAAGAUUUCAUAAGGGGAUUUGCCAUGAAGAAGCCUGGAGGGUAUUCUGUUAAUAAGAUAGGUAGCAGUGAAUAGGCAAUCUCCCCAGAAAGAGAUGGGUAAACCAGAUUGGAAAAGUAAAGCUCUACUAGUUUCAAGAAGAGUCCUAUGUUCUCUCAACAACACCAUUCUGUUGAGGAGUAUGUGGGCAAGUGGUUUGGUGUAUAAUGCCAUGUUGGCAAAAAAAGGAUGCACCAGCAAUACUAGAUCCCAAUUGUAAAGCAUUGUCACCCCUAAUAGUUUGAACAUUAGCACUAAACUGGGUCUUAGCCAUACAGAGAAAAGACUUAAGCGUGCAGAAAGCAUUGCUUUUAGACCCCAACAAAUGUGUCCAGGUUGCUCUAGAAAAGUCAUCAAAUAUUGUGAGAAAAUAUCUAGAGCCAGAAGAGGUGGGAGUGUGAUAAGGGCCCCAAGUGUCUACAUGAAUCAAUUGAAAAGGAAGUCAUCAACUAUUAUGAGAAAAUAUCUAGAGCCAGAAGAGGUGGGAGUGUGAUAAGGGCCCCAAGUAUCUACAUGAAUCAAUUGAAAAGGUCUAGAUGCACUAGUUGUGCUUUCAGGAAAGGGAAGUCUAGUUUGCGAAGUCUAGUUUGCCUAGCCAUAGGACAG
RNAcentral lists this long non-coding RNA (1174 nucleotides) under Nicotiana benthamiana. RNAcentral describes it as "long non-coding RNA (NBEN_LNC013483)". Lineage: Eukaryota; Viridiplantae; Streptophyta; Magnoliopsida; Solanales; Solanaceae. The record is from RNAcentral.